GAAAAAUCGCGGUGCAGCUGCCGGAGCAGCUCGGUAUUUUAUUUAAAUCAAGAUGUUUAACUCAUUAAUUGAGUAAUUGUGUUUUGUGUUUAAAAGACUUUUUUUUUUUGCAGGCCCUUCUUCAAAUGGACGGUUUGCCGUGACUUUCUGUACGGAAACGAGCCCUCUUUUCCCGCGCACCUCCCUCAAAUAGCUGACGUGCCAGAAUGAAGUAAGCAUCCAUAAAGAGUGACCUGCUCCCACAGAGAGAAAACGAGGUAGGACAAAUAUAUCGCAUGACUGAUCGCAUUCCUCACCGUCCUCACCAUUCAUAUCCAU
RNAcentral lists this long non-coding RNA (318 nucleotides) under Scleropages formosus (Asian bonytongue). Its description in RNAcentral is "lncRNA (ENSSFOG00015031726.1)". Lineage: Eukaryota; Metazoa; Chordata; Actinopteri; Osteoglossiformes; Osteoglossidae. The record is from RNAcentral.